Molecule: unclassified non-coding RNA, 602 nt
Filed under: Thermoascus crustaceus
Lineage: Eukaryota; Fungi; Ascomycota; Eurotiomycetes; Eurotiales; Thermoascaceae
Description: sequence contains 18S rRNA gene, ITS1, 5.8S rRNA gene, ITS2, 28S rRNA gene
Rfam family: 5.8S ribosomal RNA (bases 220-373)
Source: RNAcentral
AGUCGUAACAAGGUUUCCGUAGGUGAACCUGCGGAAGGAUCAUUACCGAGUGCGGGUCCUUCGGGGCCCAACCUCCCACCCGUGUCUACCGUACCGUGUUGCUUCGGCGGGCCCGCCGCAAGGCCGCCGGGGGGCGUCCCCCCGGCCCGUGCCCGCCGGAGACCCUGUGAACGCUGAUCUGUGAAGGCGUGUCGUCUGAGUCGCGUGAGAAAUCGUGAAAACUUUCAACAACGGAUCUCUUGGUUCCGGCAUCGAUGAAGAACGCAGCGAAAUGCGAUAAGUAAUGUGAAUUGCAGAAUUCCGUGAAUCAUCGAAUCUUUGAACGCACAUUGCGCCCUCUGGUAUUCCGGGGGGCAUGCCUGUCCGAGCGUCAUUGCUGCCCUCAAGCACGGCUUGUGUGUUGGGCCGCCGUCCCCGCCCUCCGCGGGGGGACGGGCCCGAAAGGCAGCGGCGGCGCCGCGUCCGGUCCUCGAGCGUAUGGGGCUCUGUCACCCGCUCUGCAGGCCCGGCCGGCGCCCGCCGAGUCAACCACUUCUUUCCAGGUUGACCUCGGAUCAGGUAGGGAUACCCGCUGAACUUAAGCAUAUCAAUAAGCGGAGGAA